GAUGAACGCUAGCUGGAGGCUUAAUACAUGCAAGUCGAGCGGGAUUGGUAGCAAUACCAUGAGAGCGGCGCACGGGUGAGUAACGCGUACACGACCUACCUCUGACAGGGGGAUAGCCCUGGGAAACUGGGAUUAAUACCGCAUAUUAUUCUGAUUAAUAAAGGAUUGGAAUGAAAGUUCAGGCGGUCAGAGAUGGGUGUGCGUCUGAUUAGCUAGUUGGUAGGGUAACGGCCUACCAAGGCGAUGAUCAGUAGGGGGCGUGAGAGCGUGGUCCCCCACACGGGUACUGAGACACGGACCCGACUCCUACGGGUGGCUG
Molecule: ribosomal RNA, 319 nt
Filed under: uncultured Bacteroidota bacterium
Lineage: Bacteria; Pseudomonadati; Bacteroidota
Description: bacterial SSU rRNA
Rfam family: Bacterial small subunit ribosomal RNA
Source: RNAcentral